GAUGAAGAACGCAGCAAAAUGCGAUAAGUAAUGUGAAUUGCAGAAUUCAGUGAAUCAUCGAAUCUUUGAACGCACAUUGCGCCCGCUGGUAUUCCGGCGGGCAUGCCUGUUCGAGCGUCAUUUCAACCCUCAAGCCCCCGGGUUUGGUGUUGGGGAUCGGCUCUGCCCUUCUGGGCGGUGCCGCCCCCGAAAUACAUUGGCGGUCUCGCUGCAGCCUCCAUUGCGUAGUAGCUAACACCUCGCGACUGGAGAGCGGCGCGGCCACGCCGUAAAACACCCAACUCUUCUGAAGUUGACCUCGAAUCAGGUAGGAAUACCCGCUGAACUUAAGCAUAUCAAUAAGCGGAGGA
Molecule: unclassified non-coding RNA, 350 nt
Filed under: soil metagenome
Description: partial contains 5.8S ribosomal RNA, internal transcribed spacer 2, and large subunit ribosomal RNA
Rfam family: 5.8S ribosomal RNA (bases 1-120)
Source: RNAcentral